Pantherophis guttatus is the source of this 727-nucleotide non-coding RNA. The record is from RefSeq and is a predicted model, not a curated record. NCBI's taxonomy places the organism in Eukaryota, Metazoa, Chordata, Lepidosauria, Squamata, Colubridae.
GCCUAGGCCUAGGCCUGCUGGUGGAGCCCUUGACUCACCCCUGGUGGGUCUGGAUGCAUCGUGGGACCCUGGAAGUCGUUGCUGGGCUGUGUAGUCCCUGGCAAAGAAUGGCUGGAGGCUUGGGAUCGAAACGGUCGUAAAUUGAGGACUUUUGAGGAUCUGUGGCGCGGCGGCAGCGGCGGUGGCGAUGGCUGGUCCUGUCCCGGAUGUGCUGGCCCCUGGUCGGUUGGAGAAGCCUGGCGGAGGUUGCGGAGCAGGCACACAUCUGGAACUGCUGGAUGCCCACGUGUAGGACCCUUUUAUAUACCAGGGGAGGAGUCUGAGAUACUGUCAGGAUUUUAAAUCCACUCCAACAAGAGAUUUACCAUAAUGCCAAAGUAAUGAAAUCUAAGGUAUCUGGCACAUAUUCUGUUGAGGUCUCAGAUUGCUAACACUGGUUUCAGAGUAAGUCAAAACUUCAGAAGUUUAUUAAAUAACAAAUUUAGACACGCUCCAAGUAAAUAAUUCAGAAAUAUAUUAGUUAAGGCAAAUAAAUUUAUUAGAUUAUCAUCAUGGACUAUAGAGAAACAAAAAAGCAGAUUGCUCAGAAAAAAUAAAGGGGAAACCUUUAUCAGCCAGUAGUUUUGCUAAGCAGCACAAUAUGUGAAAGAAAAUCAGAAAUCAGAGAAGACUGAGGUCCUUUGAGAUAUACUCAUAAAAAAAGGUCCUAAUAAUGCAGACAUUUUUC